Caenorhabditis elegans is the source of this 21-nucleotide non-coding RNA. NCBI's taxonomy places the organism in Eukaryota, Metazoa, Nematoda, Chromadorea, Rhabditida, Rhabditidae. The record is from Ensembl.
UUGGUAGGCGUCAUUAAAACC